CGGGCUGCCUUGGAGUCUGGGCAUCAAGCCCUUUCCGGAGGGCACGGGGACAGCAGAGGCCCCAGUUGCCACCGGAGCCUGGACCCGGGGACUGCACCAGAAAGUCUCCCCCUUCCCGCCUUGGGGAACAAACAACCUGGCCUCACCCCACCCCUACUCGGCUCCCGCAGCUGCUGGUCCUGGCGCAGCCCCCGCCCCUCCCAGCUCAGGCUCAACGCCCCCCGGCACAAGCUCUGUCCCUCCCUGCCUGUCCCCGGCCUGAACUCUGGGCUGGGCUCCGGGCCCAGCUCCGCCACACAGGCCUUGGGCUGAAUGACACCCCCGCCCUGGUGUAUUUCCCCUCCCCUGGCCAAAGGGAGCUUGAGCAGGGCCAAGCCUGCCGCUGUGUUCCUGGGGCUGGGGGCUCCUGAACACCCGGGUUGUCAUUGCAGGCGGCUGAGCACAGGUCCUGCUCAGGUGAUGUGAAGCAGAAGGGCCAGCUGCUCACUGGUUGGUGAUGAGAUCCCAUCGGAUGCUGGAGGAGGAGUCUCGGUCCGGAGUGGCCCAGCAUGAUGACAAGG
This is a long non-coding RNA of Dermochelys coriacea (leatherback sea turtle), 560 nucleotides long. RefSeq lists it as uncharacterized. Lineage: Eukaryota; Metazoa; Chordata; Testudines; Dermochelyidae. The transcript is spliced from 3 exons. The record is from RefSeq and is a predicted model, not a curated record.